This 502-nucleotide ribosomal RNA is filed under the name uncultured bacterium. RNAcentral's name for it is "bacterial SSU rRNA". It matches the Rfam family "Bacterial small subunit ribosomal RNA", at positions 355 to 870 of the family's 1533-position model. The record is from RNAcentral.
UGGGGAAUCUUGGACAAUGGGGGCAACCCUGAUCCAGCCAUGCCGCGUGAGUGAUGAAGGCCUUAGGGUCGUAAAGCUCUUUCGCCUGUGAAGAUAAUGACGGUAGCAAGGUAAAGAACCCCGGCUAACUCCGUGCCAGCAGCCGCGGUAAUACGGAGGGGGUUAGCGUUGUUCGGAAUUACUGGGCGUAAAGCGCACGUAGGCGGACCAGAAAGUUGGGGGUGAAAUCCCGGGGGCUCAACCCCGGAACUGCCUCCAAAACUAUUGGUCUAGAGUUCGAGAGAGGUGAGUGGAAUUCCAAGUGUAGAGGUGAAAUUCGUAGAUAUUUGGAGGAACACCAGUGGCGAAGGCGGCUCACUGGCUCGAUACUGACGCUGAGGUGCGAAAGUGUGGGGAGCAAACAGGAUUAGAUACCCUGGUAGUCCACGCCGUAAAACGAUGAGUGCUAGAUGUUGGGAUUUUACGGAUUUCAGUGUCGCAGCUGAAUCGCAUUAAGCACUCC